GACGAACGCUGGCGGCGUGCUUAACACAUGCAAGUCGAACGGAAAGGCCCUGCUUUUGUGGGGUGCUCGAGUGGCGAACGGGUGAGUAACACGUGAGUAACCUGCCCUUGACUUUGGGAUAACUUCAGGAAACUGGGGCUAAUACCGGAUAGGAGCUCCUGCUGCAUGGUGGGGGGUGGAAAGUUUCGGCGGUUGGGGAUGGACUCGCGGCUUAUCAGCUUGUUGGUGGGGGAGUGGCUUACCAAGGCUUUGACGGGUAGCCGGCCUGAGAGGGUGACCGGCCACAUUGGGACUGAGUUGCGGCCCAGCCUCCUACGGGAGGCAGCAGUGGGGAAUAUUGCACAAUGGGCGGAAGCCUGAUGCAGCAACGCCGCGUGCGGGAUGACGGCCUUCGGGUUGUAAACCGCUUUCGCCUGUGACGAAGCGUGAGUGACGGUAAUGGGUAAAGAAGCACCGGCUAACUACGUG
Molecule: ribosomal RNA, 468 nt
Filed under: uncultured bacterium
Lineage: Bacteria
Description: partial 16S ribosomal RNA
Rfam family: Bacterial small subunit ribosomal RNA
Source: RNAcentral